Small nuclear RNA from Suncus etruscus (white-toothed pygmy shrew), 162 nucleotides. RefSeq annotates it as U1 spliceosomal RNA. NCBI's taxonomy places the organism in Eukaryota, Metazoa, Chordata, Mammalia, Eulipotyphla, Soricidae. The transcript has a single exon. The record is from RefSeq and is a predicted model, not a curated record.
AUACCUACCUGGCAGAGGCGAUACCAUGAUCACGAAAGUGAUUUUCCCAAGGUGAGGCUUAUCCAUUACACUUUGAAUGUGCUGGCCCCUGCAAUUUUCCCAAAUGUAGAACACUUGACUGUAUAAUUUGUGGUAGUGGGGUACUGCAUUUGCACUUUCCCA